RNAcentral lists this ribosomal RNA (253 nucleotides) under uncultured bacterium. RNAcentral's name for it is "partial 16S ribosomal RNA". It matches the Rfam family "Bacterial small subunit ribosomal RNA", at positions 524 to 776 of the family's 1533-position model. The record is from RNAcentral.
GACGGAAGGUGCAAGCGUUGCUCGGAAUCACUGGGCGUAAAGGGUGCGUAGGCGGCGCGGUAAGUUGGGUGUGAAAUCCCUCGGCUCAACCGAGGAACUGCGCCCAAUACUACCGUGCUCGAGGGAGAUAGAGGUGAGCGGAACUUAGGGUGGAGCGGUGAAAUGCGUUGAUAUCCUAAGGAACACCGGUGGCGAAAGCGGCUCACUGGAUCUCUUCUGACGCUGAGGCACGAAAGCUAGGGUAGCGAACGGG